This is a long non-coding RNA of Astyanax mexicanus (Mexican tetra), 338 nucleotides long. RefSeq lists it as uncharacterized. The transcript has 4 exons. Lineage: Eukaryota; Metazoa; Chordata; Actinopteri; Characiformes; Acestrorhamphidae. The record is from RefSeq and is a predicted model, not a curated record.
UUAGCAUUAAUUUUAGGGUUAGAUUUUAAGCUUAGGUUAAGGUUAGGGUUAGAUUGUAGGGUUGAUUAAUGGUUAAGGUUAGGGUUGGGUGUAGGGUUAGAUUGUAAGCUUAGGUUAAGGUUAGGGUUAGGUGUAGGGUUAGAUUGUAGGGUUGAUUAAUGGUUAAGGUUAGGGUUAGGUGUAGGGUUAGAUUGUAGGGUUGAUUAAUGGUUAAGGUUAGGGUUGGGUGUAGGGUUAGAUUGUAAGCUUAGGUUAAGGUUAGGGUUAGGUGUAGGGUUAGAUUGUAGGGUUGAUUAAUGGUUAAGGUUAGGGUUAGGUUUAGGGUUAGAUUGUAGGGU